GCUGGCGGCGUGCCUAAUACAUGCAAGUCGAGCGGACCUGAUGGAGUGCUUGCACUCCUGAUGGUUAGCGGCGGACGGGUGAGUAACACGUAGGCAACCUGCCCUCAAGACUGGGAUAACUACCGGAAACGGUAGCUAAUACCGGAUAAUUUAUUUCACAGCAUUGUGGAAUAAUGAAAGACGGAGCAAUCUGUCACUUGGGGAUGGGCCUGCGGCGCAUUAGCUAGUUGGUGGGGUAAUGGCUCACCAAGGCGACGAUGCGUAGCCGACCUGAGAGGGUGAACGGCCACACUGGGACUGAGACACGGCCCAGACUCCUACGGGAGGCAGCAGUAGGGAAUCUUCCGCAAUGGGCGAAAGCCUGACGGAGCAACGCCGCGUGAGUGAUGAAGGUUUUCGGAUCGUAAAGCUCUGUUGCCAAGGAAGAACGUCUUCUAGAGUAACUGCUAGGAGAGUGACGGUACUUGAGAAGAAAGCCCCGGCUAACUACGUGCCAGCAGCCGCGGUAAUACGUAGGGGGCAAGCGUUGUCCGGAAUUAUUGGGCGUAAAGCGCGCGCAGGCGGUUCUUUAAGUCUGGUGUUUAAACCCGAGGCUCAACUUCGGGUCGCACUGGAAACUGGGGAACUUGAGUGCAGAAGAGGAGAGUGGAAUUCCACGUGUAGCGGUGAAAUGCGUAGAUAUGUGGAGGAACACCAGUGGCGAAGGCGACUCUCUGGGCUGUAAC
Molecule: ribosomal RNA, 725 nt
Filed under: Paenibacillus sp. 856(2010)
Lineage: Bacteria; Bacillati; Bacillota; Bacilli; Caryophanales; Paenibacillaceae
Description: bacterial SSU rRNA
Rfam family: Bacterial small subunit ribosomal RNA
Source: RNAcentral